AGUCGCGACGUGGCCCUGUAGUUCCAGUUUCGCUGAUGUCUGUCACACAUACCGAUGGUGGCAAAGGAGCUAAUGGCGCCGCCGUGUAGUAAGGUGGAUUGGUAGGUAGAUAAGGAAUGGCUUCGUCAACCCCACCACCUUGGCGUUGCAGCUCUUCACACACUAUUGCCCGAAUAGUAGCGGCAAGGUCGAUGGGCGGGCUCAUGUCGACCCUGGCAACCGUUGUCACACUUGCCAGCCUACCAAAUUUUGGGGCAAUGCGAUGAGUCUUGAUUUUUUCAAAUGUGCGGCAGUGAUGAUGGACGUCGGAGAUAGAGCAUAGUAGUACGAACGAAGGCAUGAGCCCGGCGGAGGCGAGGGCUCACAAAGCGGCAGCCGCACCAGUAAGACCCGGAUUCGAGAGGUCGCGAAGCUGAAGCGAGACACGGAUUUCUGAAGCGGAUCUCUGAAGACACGGAUCUCUGAAGCGAGACCCAGGGGCGGUGAGGGCUAGCUUGCGCAGCCGCGGCAUGGCAGCGUCGGCAAGCAAACCCGGAAGCGACAAGGAGUCUUGUUCAGGGCGAAGAAUAAAGAGUACCUCUUUACAGAA
Long non-coding RNA from Rhipicephalus microplus (southern cattle tick), 589 nucleotides. The record is from RefSeq and is a predicted model, not a curated record. Lineage: Eukaryota; Metazoa; Arthropoda; Arachnida; Ixodida; Ixodidae.